RNAcentral lists this ribosomal RNA (496 nucleotides) under uncultured bacterium. RNAcentral describes it as "partial 16S ribosomal RNA". It matches the Rfam family "Bacterial small subunit ribosomal RNA", at positions 28 to 506 of the family's 1533-position model. The record is from RNAcentral.
GAUGAACGCUGGCGGCGUGCCUAAUACAUGCAAGUCGAGCGAACAGACGAGGAGCUUGCUCCUCUGACGUUAGCGGCGGACGGGUGAGUAACACGUGGAUAACCUACCUAUAAGACUGGGAUAACUUCGGGAAACCGGAGCUAAUACCGGAUAAUAUAUUGAACCGCAUGGUUCAAUAGUGAAAGACGGUUUUGCUGUCACUUAUAGAUGGAUCCGCACCGCAUUAGCUAGUUGGUAAGGUAACGGCUUACCAAGGCGACGAUGCGUAGCCGACCUGAGAGGGUGAUCGGCCACACUGGAACUGAGACACGGUCCAGACUCCUACGGGAGGCAGCAGUAGGGAAUCUUCCGCAAUGGGCGAAAGCCUGACGGAGCAACGCCGCGUGAGUGAUGAAGGUCUUCGGAUCGUAAAACUCUGUUAUUAGGGAAGAACAAAUGUGUAAGUAACUAUGCACGUCUUGACGGUACCUAAUCAGAAAGCCACGGCUAACUACGU